This 64-nucleotide small nuclear RNA is filed under the name Sorex araneus (European shrew). Lineage: Eukaryota; Metazoa; Chordata; Mammalia; Eulipotyphla; Soricidae. The record is from RNAcentral.
GUGCUUGCUUCAGCACCUCAUAUGCUAAAAUUUGAAUGAUACAGAGAACAUUAGCAUAACCCCU